This 298-nucleotide ribosomal RNA is filed under the name Borreliella burgdorferi (Lyme disease spirochete). Its description in RNAcentral is "partial 23S ribosomal RNA". It matches the Rfam family "Bacterial large subunit ribosomal RNA", at positions 242 to 499 of the family's 2925-position model. The record is from RNAcentral. Lineage: Bacteria; Pseudomonadati; Spirochaetota; Spirochaetia; Spirochaetales; Borreliaceae.
AGUAGUGGCGAGCGAAAAGGGAGUAGCCCAAACUUUAAAUGUGUCAAGCUGCAGAGCGUUGCAUUUAUGGGGUUGUAGGACGUUUAGGCUUAGUCUGUAAUAAGCAAAAAAGUUACAAAAUAUUUAUAUAGAAGAAUAAUCUGGAAAGUUUAACCAAAGAAGGUGAUAGUCCUGUAAUUUAAAUGUAAAUAUCUUUUUANAAUGUUCCUGAGUAGGACGAGGCACGAGAAACCGGUGGUGAAGCUGGGGAGACCACUCUCCAAGGCUAAAUACUAGAAAGCUACCGAUAGAGAAGAGU